This 278-nucleotide ribosomal RNA is filed under the name uncultured prokaryote. RNAcentral describes it as "partial 16S ribosomal RNA". It matches the Rfam family "Bacterial small subunit ribosomal RNA", at positions 524 to 800 of the family's 1533-position model. The record is from RNAcentral.
UACGAAGGGUGCAAGCGUUAAUCGGAAUUACUGGGCGUAAAGCGCGCGUAGGUGGUUCGUUAAGUUAGGAGUGAAAGCCCCGGGCUCAACCUGGGAAUUGCUUCUAAAACUGGCGAGCUAGAGUAUGGUAGAGGGUGGUGGAAUUUCCUGUGUAGCGGUGAAAUGCGUAGAUAUAGGAAGGAACAUCAGUGGCGAAGGCGACCACCUGGACUGAUACUGACACUGAGGUGCGAAAGCGUGGGGAGCAAACAGGAUUAGAUACCCCCCGUAGUCCCUGA